RNAcentral lists this ribosomal RNA (427 nucleotides) under uncultured bacterium. RNAcentral's name for it is "partial 16S ribosomal RNA". It matches the Rfam family "Bacterial small subunit ribosomal RNA", at positions 355 to 774 of the family's 1533-position model. The record is from RNAcentral.
UGGGGAAUAUUGCACAAUGGGCGCAAGCCUGAUGCAGCCAUGCCGCGUGUAUGAAGAAGGCCUUCGGGUUGUAAAGUACUUUCAGCGGGGAGGAAGGCGAUGUGGUUAAUAACCGCGUCGAUUGACGUUACCCGCAGAAGAAGCACCGGCUAACUCCGUGCCAGCAGCCGCGGUAAUACGGAGGGUGCAAGCGUUAAUCGGAAUUACUGGGCGUAAAGCGCACGCAGGCGGUCUGUCAAAUCGGAUGUGAAAUCCCCGGGCUCAACCUGGGAACUGCAUCCGAAACUGGCAGGCUUGAGUCUCGUAGAGGGGGGUAGAAUUCCAGGUGUAGCGGUGAAAUGCGUAGAGAUCUGGAGGAAUACCGGUGGCGAAGGCGGCCCCCUGGACGAAGACUGACGCUCAGGUGCGAAAGCGUGGGGAGCAAACA